RNA transcript from Nomascus leucogenys (northern white-cheeked gibbon), 3151 nucleotides. RefSeq lists it as uncharacterized. The record is from RefSeq and is a predicted model, not a curated record. NCBI's taxonomy places the organism in Eukaryota, Metazoa, Chordata, Mammalia, Primates, Hylobatidae. The transcript is spliced from 2 exons.
GAUGGGCUGGACAGUGGGACAGCCUGUGUGCACAUUUUGUGGCAAGUAGGAGUGACACACCAUCUCUGGGAGGCACCAUGGUUCCUGCCAAACCCGACCCCAGAACUCUGCCCCUGAGGUGGUUUUACCAAAACCCAAAACCCAGAACUGUGGUUGUGGCUCAGGGGUCAGCACCUGCUAGCACCAGGACACUACUGGGAGGCUGGGACCUGAUCGAAGCCCAUAGUGUCUGUGGCCUGAGGACAGGGUGUGUUGGGGCCAUAAGGCCUGGCCGCCAAUGGCCACUGGGUCCUAGGGCCUCAGCCCCAGUGUUUGCCCUUCCCUGGCUCCUUCUGAUUCAGUCCCAUUAGGGCCCUGCAGCCCAAGACCCAGCACCCAAGGUCCCCUCCAGGAAUCCUGGCGGCUUGGCUUCCUUUAUCAUGUUUCAUUUGAGAGCAAAAAUGUCAGAUCGGAUGCACAGAAAAAUGGCCCAAAUUGUUUAAUGACUAGAAGAAAUCUAGGAGCAGCAAGAAUGUAAUAUGAAAAGGGGAGGGCCUCCAUGACCGGUGUCUGCAGAGCCAGGGGUACAGGCACCCAGUGUUGUGGCCUGGCACCACCGGCCUCUCAGAGGGUGGGUGGCACACUGUCCUUACCCAGAGGACAGCAGGCCUGAUCACCAGCUUUUCUACCUGUCCCUGUAAGCAUCACGUUGCUAGAAGAAAAUCUCAUGCCAGAGCUUGGACCAUCCCUAGCUCAGAGGUUAGGGGUUGUCUCUUGGUGAUCUAAAUGAAAAAAUAGGUCCAGAUCAGAGUUCCUGACGCAGAGCACUCAUCCACUCUUUGAAUCGUGGGAGGGGAGGCCUGGUUUUAGGUAAACCUAACCUCUUUGAGGAACCACAGAGCCCAAGACUGGAAACCUUCAGAAUCUUCCGGCCCCCAACCCUCCCUGGGGACCCCUGUGGCCUGUCUCACCAGAGCACUCUUCUGUCUGUAGAUGUCUCAGCUGCUCUACAAGGGAGUCCCAUUUCAGGUGUGGGGCUGGGCAUGGUCACUUCUGCUGGAUGUCUAGAAGGUGGAAACUAAGGACCUAGGAAAAUACCAGAUACAGCCUUUCCACCCUCAUCCAGAGCAGGACAAACAGGCCAGGCGGUGUCAGGAGCCCAGGUCUCCAGCUGGAGGGAACGUCAACCCUGCAGUGGGAGCAGGGGCCCAUCGCACAUCCUAGGCACAGAUGCUAAUGUAGGCACCGCAGGUAAGCUGGGCUUGGUACCCUUCCCUGGCUUCAGAAAGAAGCCAACAAGGAGCGUUUUGCAGAAUGAGACCUUUCUUUCCAGAAGCACUGCUGACUGUAGGUGGUUGCCCUUUGUGGCAGUGAGCAUUUUGUCCAUUCUGAGGUUGGAUUGGUUUCUCCUUUUGGCCUUGCCCUGCCCUACAGACCAUAAAGGAGAACAGCAAGAGGCCCCCAGCAAACAUCCACAUAUGGCCCUGGACAUCAGCCACAUUCUGAGAUGUCAUGUUCUGGGAGGGCUAAGGCAUCAAGUAAGGCCUAUGGGGCUGGAGGAUCCCAGGCAAGGUGUGGCAAUCCAGAGCCAUGGAGGCUUCCCAUGGGAAUUGGGAGGUCCCAAGGCAGAGUCAGAAGUUCCACAGGAGGAGUCACAGAGUCACCAAGGGCUCUCCUGGCCCAGGGAACAGUCAACACCAUGGACUGAACACCUGCUGGGCUCCAAGCCCUGGGCCAGGCUGCCCAUGUGGGGCCAGGAGGCAGCUCAGAGUGGGAGGCAGAGAGAGAAGUGUGCUCAGAGGGCACCUGUAUCUGGAUGUAAUGUGGUCCUGAAACUCUGGCUGGGAAGUGCUUCCAGGGUAUCAUAUGUGUUAUGCAGCUACUUCCUCUCCCCAGCCUUACCCCGUAGGAAUUGCAGUGACUAUGUUGCCACCAUCUUGGAGCUCCAUGCCCUUAUAGUGCAAUGGCACCAGCAGAUCUGCCUGUGCAUGGACUUCCUGUACUACCUCACUCCUGAGGGGUGAUGCUUCUGCAGGGCCUAAGACCUGGUGCACAACUUUAGACACCAUCAUCCUGGAGCAGCACUGCACCCUCAGUAGCCAGGGUGUUGAUGUCCUCAAGGCUAAGUCCACAUUCAAGACUUUGGACUUCACUGAUGCACUUGUGCUGAGCAAGCUUAUCUGAUGAUCUCCUGGGAUCUCUACUAGGAUGCUGGCAGCCCAGCCAGCUGGUCUGGCCCUGGAUGUGCCUUCAGGGGCUGGUUAUGCUUCAUGACCUGUGUUGUGGUGAGUGGUAAGCAGCACCUGCUUCUAGCUUCACUGUUGGGCCAGAUUUCAUCCCCACCGUGGCUCUUCAUUGCAGCUGCUUUCUGCUCCCUCCAUGGACCCUGCGUGGAAUUGCCCCAUGUUUCUGUUUGGCCACCACUGAGGAAGGAAGCAUGAAGGACGCACAGGUCAGGCCAUUCUGUUGCCCACCUCGUGCUGGGUCUUUACUCCUGGGAUGGCUUCAGGGGCAGCUCCUUUUCCAUGGCUCCCCUCACCCCACAUCUCUCAGGUUGCUGCUCAAAGGUCACCUCUUGGAGGGGUCUGUCCCUGUCACUGCGUUUGGAACAGCUCCCUCAGUUUCUUUCUAGCUCAUCUCACUCUGGUAAUGUCUUUCAUUACCACCACCAUCUGACCUGGUCUUACGACCUGUUAGCUUCCUUCAUCAGACAUGAGCACCAGGAUGGCAGGGGCCUCAUCUGUCUUGUUCCUCCUGUGGCCUGGGUCCUAGCACCAUGUCUGGUACAGUGUAGGUGCUCAAGGGAUGUUUACUGUUGAAGAACUGUCUACCUGGGAGAGGCUACUGUUAGUCUUAGCUGCACUAUUUGGUAAAUCCCUUGCUGUUUUGCAGAUCCUGGUCAGAAGAAAACAUUCCAUGGGAACUCGGGCUGUGAGAAGCAUCCUAACCACCUGACUGCAGAAACUUCAUUAACACAUCCUGCUGGGCAAAGGCCCAACAGCCUGACUUCAGGAACAUCCUUAUCAUCUACUGGGCAGCAAGCUAUACUGUCCAGAGCCCUCCCUCCCAGCCCCAUGAUUACCCCAGCCUGUGAGUGGCAGUGGGCACUGACACUAAGCUGGUUUCCCCCUCCACAGGGUUUUGCUAGUAAUAAAUCUGUGUUGCUGUUGAA